Molecule: ribosomal RNA, 252 nt
Filed under: uncultured bacterium
Lineage: Bacteria
Description: partial 16S ribosomal RNA
Rfam family: Bacterial small subunit ribosomal RNA
Source: RNAcentral
UACGUAAGGACCGAGCGUUGUCCGGGAUCAUUGGGCGUAAAGGGUACGUAGGCGGUUAGAAAAGUUAGAAGUGAAAGGCUAUAGCUCAACUAUAGUAAGCUUUUAAAACUGCUCAUCUUGAGGUAUGGAAGGGAAAGUGGAAUUCCUAGUGUAGCGGUGAAAUGCGUAGAUAUUAGGAAGAAUACCGGUGGCGAAGGCGACUUUCUGGCCUUUUUCUGACGCUGAGGUACGAAAGCGUGGGUAGCAAACAGG